GAGCGUUCUGUAAGCCGUUGAAGGUGAAUCGUAAGGUUUGCUGGAGGUAUCAGAAGUGCGAAUGCUGACAUGAGUAACGACAAAGGGGGUGAAAAACCUCCUCGCCGGAAGACCAAGGGUUCCUGUCCAACGUUAAUCGGGGCAGGGUGAGUCGACCCCUAAGGUGAGGCCGAAAGGCGUAAUCGAUGGGAAACGGGUUAAUAUUCCCGUACUUCUGACUAUUGCGAUGGGGGGACGGAGAAGGCUAGGUGGGCCAGGCGACGGUUGUCCUGGUUCAAGUGCGUAGGCUUGAGAGUUAGGUAAAUCCGGCUCUCUCUAAGGCUGAGACACGACGUCGAGCUGCUACGGCAGUGAAGUCAUUGAUGCCAUGCUUCCAGGAAAAGCCUCUAAGCUUCAGAUAGUCAGGAAUCGUACCCCAAACCGACACAGGUGGUCGGGUAGAGAAUACCAAGGCGCUUGAGAGAACUCGGGUGAAGGAACUAGGCAAAAUGGUACCGUAACUUCGGGAGAAGGUACGCUCUUGAUGGUGAAGUCCCUCGCGGAUGGAGCUGACGAGAGUCGCAGAUACCAGGUGGCUGCAACUGUUUAUUAAAAACACAGCACUGUGCAAAAUCGCAAGAUGACGUAUACGGUGUGACGCCUGCCCGGUGCCGGAAGGUUAAUUGAUGGGGUUAGCGUAAGCGAAGCUCUUGAUCGAAGCCCCGGUAAACGGCGGCCGUAACUAUAACGGUCCUAAGGUAGCGAAAUUCCUUGUCGGGUAAGUUCCGACCUGCACGAAUGGCGUAAUGAUGGCCACGCUGUCUCCACCCGAGACUCAGUGAAAUUGAAAUCGCUGUGAAGAUGCAGUGUACCCGCGGCUAGACGGAAAGACCCCGUGAACCUUUACUACAGCUUGGCACUGAACAUUGAACCUACAUGUGUAGGAUAGGUGGGAGGCUAUGAAGACGUGACGCCAGUUGCGUUGGAGCCGUCCUUGAAAUACCACCCUUGUAUGUUUGAUGUUCUAACUUAGACCCAUUAUCUGGGUUGAGGACAGUGCCUGGUGGGUAGUUUGACUGGGGCGGUCUCCUCCCAAAGAGUAACGGAGGAGCACGAAGGUGGGCUAAUCACGGUUGGACAUCGUGAGGUUAGUGCAAUGGCAUAAGCCCGCUUAACUGCGAGAAUGACGGUUCGAGCAGGUGCGAAAGCAGGUCAUAGUGAUCCGGUGGUUCUGUAUGGAAGGGCCAUCGCUCAACGGAUAAAAGGUACUCCGGGGAUAACAGGCUGAUACCGCCCAAGAGUUCAUAUCGACGGCGGUGUUUGGCACCUCGAUGUCGGCUCAUCACAUCCUGGGGCUGAAGUCGGUCCCAAGGGUAUGGCUGUUCGCCAUUUAAAGUGGUACGCGAGCUGGGUUUAGAACGUCGUGAGACAGUUCGGUCCCUAUCUGCCGUGGGCGUUGGAAGAUUGAAGGGGGCUGCUCCUAGUACGAGAGGACCGGAGUGGACGAACCUCUGGUGUUCGGGUUGUGUCGCCAGACGCAUUGCCCGGUAGCUAAGUUCGGAAUUGAUAAGCGCUGAAAGCAUCUAAGCGCGAAGCGAGCCCUGAGAUGAGUCUUCCCUGAUACUUUAAGUAUCCUAAAGGGUUGUUCGAGACUAGAACGUUGAUAGGCAGGGUGUGUAAGCGUUGUGAGGCGUUGAGCUAACCUGUACUAAUUGCCCGUGAGGCUUAACCAU
RNAcentral lists this ribosomal RNA (1712 nucleotides) under Vibrio cholerae. RNAcentral's name for it is "partial 23S ribosomal RNA". It matches the Rfam family "Bacterial large subunit ribosomal RNA", at positions 1234 to 2925 of the family's 2925-position model. The record is from RNAcentral. Lineage: Bacteria; Pseudomonadati; Pseudomonadota; Gammaproteobacteria; Vibrionales; Vibrionaceae.